AAGCAAGGCAUCAAAACCAGGACCCACACGCCCCCAGCAGGGAGGCGCAGGCGCGCGCGCGCGUGCGCACGCGUGAAUGCCCGCCAUAUCUAUCGCAGAUGCGGCACGACAUCCCGCCCUAUUUGUCUCACCAGACCACUACGCACUGGCCCCUUCUCAUGCAUCAGAUCAUAAUACAAGGGUGCCUUGCGAGCCAACCCGACACUCCCCACAGCCCGCAGGCACGCAAGGGCGCCGGCGGGGCCCCGCGCGCCUGCGCUCAGCGCGCACGCGACUACGCGCCCCGGCCAUACGCCGCUCGCCAACCUAGCACUUGGCCGCAAGUAGCUGAGACACAAGCAACUAAGAACCAGCUAGCACAAACCUGCCGAAACAAAUCAGCAAAUUUACGCCACCCACUUCUUGGCGGUGACCUCAGCCAGGUCGACCACGCGCUGGGAGUAGCCCCACUCGUUGUCGUACCAGGCCACGACCUUGACCAUGUCGUCGCCCAUGACCAUGGUCAGGGAGGCGUCGAUGGAGGUCGACUGGUCGGUGCACUUGAAGUCAAUGGACACCAGGGGGGCGUCCUCGACGUGCAGCACGCCCUUCAUGGGGCCGUUGGCGGCCUCGCGGAAGGCGGCGUUCACCUCCUCGGCGAAGGUCUUCUUCUCAACCUGUGGUUGAGCGGGAGCGCAGGACAGGACAGGAGGGUGGGUCAGUGACAGCCUCAAGACAAGUUACUGAGGCGUGCAGCAUGCCACCGGCAACACGAAAUAUACAAGAAUUCGGUAAGCGGCGCCCACUGUCCAGGUGUAGUUGUUACAGCGCAAGGGGAGGCAGUCUCACCUGGACGACCAGGUCGACGACCGACACGGUGGGGGUGGGCACGCGCAGGGCAAUGCCGUUCAGCUUGCCCUUCAGGCUGGGCAGCACCAGCGACACGGCCUUGGCGGCACCGGUGGUGGUGGGCACAAUGUUCAGGGCGGCGGCGCGGGCGCGGCGCAGGUCGCGGUGGGACGCGUCCAGCAGGCGCUGGUCACCGGUGUAGGAGUGGGUGGUGGUCAUCGUGCCCUUGACAAUGCCGAACUUCUGCUCCAGCACCUGGGGUAGGCAAGGGAGAGGGGAAAGGGGAAGGGCCGGGUCAGAGACAGGUGAGCUGACAAGACAAGAUAUCCCAGGGCACUCGGACCCGCAACACCGUGGACGCUCUUGCCGCCCCCCGCAUUUAUUCCUGACGAAAAAGCCACAGCAAGCAACAUGCGUAAGCUUCCUUACCUUGACGAAGGGGGCCAGGCAGUUGGUGGUGCACGAGGCGUUGGAGAUGAUGGGGUACUCGUGCUUGUAGUCGCCCUCGUUCACACCGACCACGAAGGUGGGGAUGUCCUUGUCCUUGGCGGGGGCGGUGAUCAGCACCUUGGAGGCACCGGCCUAUAGAUGUGUGGGGCAAGGCAGGGGGGUCAUGUCAGCAGGGGGAACGAGCUCAAUGGGCGAGCGAGCGCCGUUACUCGUAACGCCAACACCCCCCCACUUGCUAGCGAGCAGUGCCGACCCAAAACGUGCACACCCAAAACCCCCGUCGCUUCCCGGCCCAGAGAUGCGCUUUAAUUGCGGCAUGCUCACCUGGAUGUGCUUGCCAGCGCCAACCUUGUCAAUGAAGACACCAGUGCCCUCAAUGACCAGGUCGAUGUUCAUCUCCUUCCAGGGCAGCUGCAGGGGGUCGCGGCUGGACACAAUCUUGAUCUGCUUGCCGUCCACCGAGAUGUGGCUGUCGUCGACGAUCUUAACAUCGGCGGCGAACGUGCCCAGGGUGGAGUCGUACUUCAGCAGGUGGCUGGCCUGCUUGACACCGCCGCUGUCGUUGAUGGCAACCACGUCCAGCAGGGUGUUCUGGCGACCGUGCCAGCAGCGCAGGAAGUUGCGGCCAAUGCGACCGAAGCCGUUGAUGGCCACGCGGAUCUUCUUCUCCGCGCGCACGUCGACGACGGCGCGGGCAGCCUGCGAGCGCGAUGCAAGAGAGUAGGAUCGGUGAACGUUGACCUGGCAACCCAACUAUCUUAUUUAUCAACUGAUCACACACGUAGCAGAAGCCCGCCGAAGACCCAGCGAGUGCUGGGCUGUGCGACCCAAGAACCCAAGUCCGCAAGCAAAAGCCGAGCCAUGCCCACCUUGGCGCGGACGCCAGACUUGGAGGACACGGCGCUGCCGGUGAAGGCGCUCUGCAAGCGCAAGAAACAAACAGGCGCGGUCAGGACUAGAAGAAAGAGGCGCCUGAGGCGCUUGGGUCGGGAUCACAUCUGGAAGUUCUGGGUGACAAGUCGCUGGUCUUUGGAUAUGUAUUGCUGUUCGGUAUUGAGUGCACUGCGCACCUUCUGCAUCAUGGCGGCCAUUUUGGACAGGACCCGUAAGAGUACCGAGCUUGCUGAGCCCGCGUUGCUUUUAGCCGGUCGGCUCGGCUCGCUCGGUGCCGUACGGGUGGCGACCCAUGCAGCCUUAUCGGCGUCGUACCUCGCGUUCGCCGCUGAACGAGCGCGCGGUGCCCCCUGGAUGAUGCUUGUAAAUCUAGACCCACUCACUGCGACGCGCGCGGGGGUGCGCGGGAGCGACCGGCGCGCGGGGAAGCCCCGGCAUUCUAGUCAAGUUUUGCGGGACUCGCGGCCGACCGCAUUUUAACCAUGGCAAUGACUUAUUGAUGCGAUAGGAGAAACAUCAAAAUUUUCUCUAGGGGUCGACGAGCGCUGCGCGCACGCUGGUGCUUGCACUCAGCUCGAGAACCCGCGACACUCGCGAAAGCCACGCUUUAUUCUUUAUCAUGCUUUCUUCUAUUGCUGCGUAAGUAUUCUACUCCCGGCAAGCCUGGGAAGCAUGCAAGGCAGUCAGGGCUUUCGCGUUCGCGUGGACACGACGCUGUAAGGCGCGAAAUAUACAUCUCACUCAGAAAAGAAUGCGGGGACUGUCCGUUCUAAAGGAGCGCUGGCGGCGUGAGAAGCGACCGCGAGUGCCCAUCGUGCAACAUCUCUAAGGAGCGCUUGGGGAGACACGCCGUGCUGUGGACUUGACCGGGCACACGACGGGUGUUCAGGGCGUGCAAAGACAUCGCGAACUGAUCUUGGGAACUGCGUGACCUUUCGCCUAUCAUGGUGCGGCCAGCGUGGAAGGGCGGGACGCGCCGUGUCGGCCCGACAACGCCGGGACACGCCGCUACUUGUUGUCAGGGUGGGAGCGCUUGCACUGGGCGUCCGUAGAGGUGCAUCUGACAGGUAGCCGCCAGACGUCGGGGUGCAUGCGUAGGGGCAGUGAGGGCUCCAGGGCGUGGCUCCAGGGUGUGGCGGUGCAAAGCGCUCGCGGGCGGCUCGCGUACCACGGUGCUGCUCAAGCCCGUAUCUUGGGAUGACAAAGGCAACGGAUGACGGCGACAGUUGGGUGACAUCAGCGGGCCAUGCGGUGGACUGUUGGUGGACGUGACGCCAUGCGGCUAAAGACGGUGGGGCAAAACAUGUGGGUGCCCAAAUGCUGUACAGCAGGGGGCUGUUGUACAUAGCACUGCAUAGCAGAACUGCCUUGCAGGGGGUUGCUACUUGUCCUUGGUUCUCAUGGGAUGGUGCAAGCAACUGCCCUCUGCCCCCACAACAGCAGCUUGCAAUCAGGCGCAGCCGCGCGCGGCAGGGCUGCUGGGCAUCCAGUCACGCAGCCGCACCCCCGGUCCUGCCUGGUCACAUCCGCCUGCCUAGCCGGCUUCCCAGGCGUUGCCCGCUCGGUCGCGUGGGGGCUUAUGGGCGUGAAGGAGGGCAACUGUGUGACGCGGCUGAGUUAACAGCUCGACAUGCAGUGGCGGGAAGCCCCCAUGAAGGCGCCAGCGCGUGGUGGGCUGCAGCCUUCUCCAGGGGAGGCCCUGCCUCCCAAGUGGCUGCGUGCGGUCGCCACCGCCCCAAGCUGCCACCAGUGCUCGUAUCUUGUAGAUGCCCUCAGGCACCCGGCAUCUACACAUGCGUAGAUGACCCUGACCGCGGCAUCUACACUUAAGCCCCCAAGCCCCCCAAAACGUCUACGCUUCCCCCAUUUUUGCGCCAAAACCGGCCAAAACUGUCUACACUGCGUAGAUGCGUGGCACCCAAACCCAAAAAUUUUUCUCCGCCUUCGGCGGAUUUUGGGCAGAUUUCUACAGUGUAGAUGGAAGAUACGAGCACUGGCUGCCACCUGCAUAAUCCUGUGCGCCCGCGAAGGGGCAUCAUGGUCUUGCAGCUGGUAGCAACGGGGAUGGGCACGCGACCCACGAGCGCGGAGGCUGCAGCGCACGGCGCCCCCGGUGCACCCGUGCUGGGCGCGAGCUUCUCCUAAGCCACGGUGUUGAAGCACAUGACUUGUGGCCUUGAGAACGCAUACAGCUGGAAUUGCCACGGAUGCGGCGACAUUGGGACUUGCCAGGUCAGCCAGGUCCAGGGGGGCUCCCUGGCCAGGUCAGCCCUGUCCAGCCCUUGCGUUACUGCGGUCCCCGCCUUCUCGGGUGCGUCCGUGCUCCAUGGACCUGCUGUCGCAUGUGCGAUUGUUUGGAAGGGCAAUUGCACAGCAGAGCGGCGGUGCGUCGGGGGGUGGGGUGGGAGCGGGGGGGCCGGGGGGGGGGGGGGGCUGGGCCGGGGCUGCGCUGGCACCGGAGUCCUGCACCGGGCCUGGGAUGAUCAUGUGCGCCCAUUCUGGAAGCCUAGCGCCACCGCGCCUGCUACAGUGUUUCGCACAAUCACAUCAGCAGCGAUAACUCUGACCCAAUCUCUCUCUGAAGCUAGCUAGCCCACGCGCUCACUCAGUAAGCUCUGUGAACUCUAAACCGUGCCUCCACGAAAAGGUUGUGCCUUUGGAAUGUUAUACCAACGUAUAGCAACGGAUGCGGACAGUAUAGAGUUGCAGCGCUGGUAAAGACGGUGGAGAACAAUGGGAAGUGCAUGCACAAAAGCAGGCCGGGAGGAAGCUGCCUUCCUCAAGGCGGCAAAGGAUGGUGACUGUGGACAAGUACAGCAGGUGCAGCGGGGCGGUGUCGCGGGAAGCACGUAAUUGAAUGCCGUUCAUGUAGCAGCGCGCUUGCGGAUGCGAUGAGUGGCUAGCUUCAUUUCAUAUUGCACAUUUCUACACCCCAACUCGCGCGGGGGGCGUUCGCAGAGGCCAGAACUUUAACCACCGCAUCAUGCUGGGCUGCCUCUCGCAGGCCAUCCUAAAGCACGUGGACUGGGGCUACAGGGCCCAGACGUGGAAUGGACAGAGCGUCUUCCACCUGGCAGCGCGCUAUGGGCGAGUGGACGUAUUGGAGACGGUGGUGGAGGCGGUCCGGUAUAAUCCCGCUGGACCGGACCAGUGGAAGAAGCUGCUACGGUGCGUUUUGGAAGUGCGAAGCGGGGAGGGACGACGAUGUUUAGCGUGGCGGGGCUCGGCAAGCGCAGGAGCCCGGGCGGGCCCGGGGGGCGAAGCGCGUGUGCGUGUGCAGGGUUUCGUGGGCAGGUUGGGCCGUACCUGGUUGCGCGUUCGUAGUUUUUUCCUGGGAGCGCGGAGUACGGCCCAGUAGAGCACCCCUCGCCCAGCCACACAGCGCCUGGCGCAAUCGCGAGCGGCUCGUGAGGCGAGCUUGCACGAACGGCGCUGCGCGCCUGCGGGGCCUGGGGUCGGGGUGGCGAAGGGAUGAAGGAUUUUGGAGAGAGGGGCGUGGCCAGCAGCCGGCCGGCACGGGGCAAGGGUGCCGCGGCCCAACCAGCCUCCAGAGGUUUGAUGUGGGUCGGGUCUGAAGCUGCACGCAGAUGCCGUGCUGUGUUCGGAGAUUGCGCAGCUAACGGGGUUGGCUAGAAGGAAAGGCAGGCAGUGCAAAGGCGGGUUGAGUGGGGGCGCCGCGCAGCAUGUUGGAAGGCGCCUGGGGGCUGACACACGGGCGCGAAUCUGAGGGGGCUGACGGAGCGGGUUGGCAGGGGGCUGUGGGGUAGGGGUGCCGGGCUGCGGGUGUCGCCGUGUCAGGUGGCAUGCGUGUGUGUGUGUGUGCCUGAUGCGUGGUCCAGCACCCGUGGUCCGCCGUGUGGCGCCGCGGCGCCGCCUGAGCUGUCCUCGCGGCCAGGCGGCCGGCACUUGUGUGCGUGUGUGUGUGGUGUGUGUGUGUGUGUGGGGGGGGGCUUGGCAGGAACCUAGGGCUCCAGUAGGCAUGAGAAUGAGCGCGCAUGGGGCGGCGCUCUCACGGCCGUCCCCCCGCCGCCCCCACAUCCCCGCACCCAAUCCCCACCCCAACCCCCUCCCCCACCGCAGGAUGGGCCACUCCACGGACGCCAUUCUGAAGGCCUACGCCAACCUGCAGGUGCGCGCGCGCGCGCGUGUGUGUGUGUGUGUGUGUGUGUGUGUGUGUGUGUGUGUGUGUGUGUGUGUGUGUGUGUGUGUGUGUGUGUGUGUGUGUGUGUGUGUGUGUGUGUGUGUGUGUGUACAAGCGUGGCACGGCGCUGUGUUAGGACACGAGGAACGGUGCCGUGUGUGCGUUGUGGGUGUCGGGCCGGGAAACAGACCGCGCCAUCAUGUGUUGGAAAAGCAUAAAAAGGGGCAGGGUCGGCAUUGUGCAGGCGAAUGUGCAAGCAAAGCGGGGGUAUCUUUACGAGUGUCCGUUCGUGGUGGGCUCUGGGCACGUGUGGGGCUGGCGCCGCGAACACUGCUGGCAGUGCGCCCUGUGAUGCCAGGGGCCGGGCGGCUGGCGGCGCUGUCGGCCUUGAGGGCUUAGCUCCUAGCUAUGUCCUCCCCGUCCUCCCGUUGUCUUGAGCCUUUGCCGUGUGGUCCGCUCCGCCUUCUCGCUCCACCGACCCAUCCUCUCCCGACUCCUCUGCGGUCGGUCAGUCAUUCAUGCUUAGAGCGCCUCCCGUCCCUGCCUGUUCUACCUCCCUGCCUUCCUACCGGCUCCCCUCCCCGCCUCCCCACCGCCUCCCUGCCUCCCCACCACUUCCCUCCCCACCACUUCCCUCCCCAUCACGUCCCCCCAUGCCCCCCCCGUCCCCCUGUCCCCCUGUCCCCCUGUCCCCCCCCCACCCAGGACGCCCGCUGCCAGACGCCGCUGCACAUCGCCUGCAUCUACGGCAAUGCUGACGUGGCGGCGGCGCUCAUCAAGCUGGGCGCCAUGCCCUGGGCCUGGGACGAGCUGGGUGAGGGCGUGGUGGAGGGAAGGGUGGGGGGGGGGGGGAAAGAGAGAGAGAAAAGGGAAGAGGGGAGUGGCAAGGUUAAGACAUUUGGGGGGAGGGGUAGCCGGUCAUGUGGAGAACGGGGUGGUUACAUCACAAGCCGACAUCCGUAGGGAGUCGAGAGUCUGGACACCCGACCCGGCCCCGCCCACAACCCACCCGCCCCUCCCCCCAGUGUUUUGACAUUGCAACUCCCUCUUCGCUACACUUCUCUGCACCAAUCCUUGCACCGGGAAGGGGUGGGGGAGAGUGAAGAGGGGGUCGCAAAGAUGGUUGGGGUGUAGCCGGUCAUGUGAAGAAACGGAAUGAGGUAAAGCAGUAUGCUGACGUCCGGAGGCUGGAGACCCGACCCGACCCUCCCACAUCCCACCACCUGCCCCCGUCUACCACUUCCUUAACUAGUCAUGCAUGUAACACCCCCCUCCCCCCAGGCGGCCGCACUCCGCUGCACUACGCCGCCAGCAUGGGCCACGUGGACGUCAUCCGGGCGGUGCUGGCCGCAGCCGGCCCCCCGCCCAGCGGCGAGGCGCUGCGGCGGCCCAACACCAGCCGGACCAAGUGAGGGAACCGGGGGAGGGAGGGAAGGAGGAUUUGGGAAAGGAGGGCGGAUUUGGGGUGGCAGGUGCCUGGGGCCGGGGAUGGGGGCGGGGGCGGGGGCGGGGGCGGGGACGGGGGGCGGGGUGGGGGGCGGGGAACUGGAUGUGGGCGCAUGGGGCGUGCGGCGGGGGAUGGGGGCCGGGGCUUGGGUGUGCUGUCCCUGACAUGUACACACACGCGGUCUGCAAACACAAACACACGAACACGCAUUGUGCUAUCCUAACACACAAACGCACACACUGCGCGCACACACAGGCUGGUGGACAUCUGCAACGACUCGGGCUACACGCCGCUGCACUACGCGGUGAGGGUGGGGUGGGUGUGGGGAGUGGGGUGGUGGGGUGGGUGGGGUGCAAUCCCAAAGAAACCAAGACCCAGAACCAGCCCUGGGGGUGGAGUGGGAGUGGGAGUGGGGCCGCACGGGCAGCUGUUACAGGGGGCAGGGUAGCGGGUGUGUGUAGCCCGCUUGGAUCGAUGGGCCCAAGAAUCCAAGGUGGGCAGAGGUGGCGAGGCGUUAGCCAUGAGCACCCCGCAAACUCAGCACAACCCGCCCACCCAUCCUCCCACCCCCUCUACCACUUCCUUAACUAGUCAUGAAUGUAACCCCCUCUUUAAUACACACCGUCGGCAUGAAUAGCUACCCCAUAACCAGUCGUGCACGCCCCCCACCCCUCCCGCCCUCCCCACUCCCAUUACCCGCACCCUCCCGCUCCCCCCCUCCUGCUCCCCCCUCUCCCCCCCCAAAAAGGUGUGGGCCGGCAACACCGCCUCCAUCCGCGCGCUGGUGAGCUACGAGGCGUCGCUGUCGGCUCGCAACGUGGCGUGCGGCAGCGACUGGGUGGUGUCGGCGCUCAAGUGCACGCCGCUGCACCUGGCGGCGCACAAGGGCAACGCGGCCGUGGUGAAGCUGCUGCUCAGCGCCUACGUGAGUGUUGGUGUGGAGGCGGGGGUGGGGUGGAGGGGGUGAGGGGGUGAGGGGGUGGAGGGGUGGGGAUGGGGGGGGGGUGUUCAGGGGGAUGGAGGGGGGGGGUUGGGGUGGAGGGGUGGAGGGGUGGAGGGGGGGUUUAGGCGUGGGGUUGAGGGGUUAGGGGUGGGGGCGGGGGUGGGGUUGUUAAGGGAUAGCGCUAGGGAGGAUUCACGCAGGGCAGGGCAGGUGGCUUGUGUUGUGGAGGGAGAGUCAGCUGCACGGUAUUUCCAAGUCGAGGCCCAGAACCGGAAACCACUCGCAAGCUUCGUCUGCGUCGUCACCAGUACCAGUUGCCUGACUCAGCCAUCCCCACAACCCCGUCCAUCCGCCCCCGCAGGUCCAGAGCCAGGUGCCGCAGGGCUCCGAGCCGCCGCCCGUGCACGACCGCCGCCGCCGCGACCCGCGCCGCCACGUCAACGCCGCCCGCCAACUGCCGUACCACGUGGCGGUUGCGCGCGGCCACAACCACCUGGCCGAGCUGCUACACCCCGACGUGCCGUUCAGUUUUAUUCUGUCGCCCGCCGAGAUGGAGAGUACGGCAAGGCUGUACGGCGUCACGAAACUUGCCGUACUGGCGGCCAAGGUCCUGCAGGCCAAGCUGGUGUCGGACAUUGACGAGGCGCUGGCGGCGCUGGCGGCGGCGCCGGGCCGCGGCGGCGGCGGCGCCGGCAGCGCCGCUGCCGCCGGUGGCGGAGGCCUCGGUGGCGGCGGCGGCGGCGGCACGUUCUCUCGGGCGCGGUCUGGGAGCAUAGCGGCGCUGAGCGGCGCGGUGGCGGCGGCGGCGGCGGCGUCCAUGCGCGAGCGGUCCGUGCAUGGCUCCGUGCACGGCGGCGGCGGCGCGCUGGGGGCGCUGGCCGGCGGCGUCGGCGGCGGAGGCGUGCCGACGGCAGCGGCGCUGGCGGCGGCGGCCUCCGCCAGCCUGGACGCAGUGCUGGCGGCGUCGGCGGCGGCCGCCGGCAAGGAUCCGGCACGGAUCCUGGCGGCGCGCGCGUCACAGGAGAAUGCUGCCGCCGCCGGCGGCUCGCCGGCCACCGCCAUAGCCGUCAGCCCGGUCGCGACCGCCAUGGCGGCGGUCACAGGCGCCGGCGCGGCGGCGGCGGCGGCGGCGGCGGAGGCCAACGGCCAAGGCGGCGGCGGCGGCGGCGGCGUGAAGGGGGCGUCUGGGACGUCGUCGUCUCCGCCGUCGGCUGGGUCGUCGGGGGAUGCGGACCCGCUGACUGUGGAGCCCAUGCCGGUGCGUGGGGGCGGGCGUGGGGGCGGGUGCAUGGGGGUGCGGGAGAAGGAGUGGGUGCGGGUGCGGGGGCUGGCGGUUUGCGCCCUUCCCAUGAGGACUGAGCAUGGGUGGGGUCGGGUGCGGGCGUUGGGGCUGCCCAGCCAUGGGCGGUGUUGCGUUUGGGAUUGGGAGCUGGGCGCUUGCGCCGUGUGCUGGGACUGUGGGUUCCGCCUGUGCUGAGCCGUUUGCCGGCAGCUCCGCAGCUCCGGCAACGCCACCACCGGACCGUGUACGCACCACCACCACCGCCUGCUCCCGCGCACCACUGACCCCUCCUCCUCGUGCGGGCGCCGCUCACUGACGUCACACGCACACACCACUGACCCCUCCUCUGACGCCCCCCGCACACACAGGACGCCAUCGCGCGCGCCCGCGCCUCCGGCGAGCCCCUGGGUGCCGCCGCCGCCGCCGCCGCCGCCGCUACCGGCAUCAGCGCCCAACCGUCGCUGGGCCAGCCCGGCGCAAGUGCAAGUGCAGCAGCACUGCACAGCCCCGGUGCUACCAGCCCCGCCGGCGGCGCGCAGGCGGCGCCGCUGCCGCUGCCGCCCGCGCCCCUGUCGCCGUUCCUGCCGGCGGCUGGCGCCGCCGGCGGCCUUUCGGCUCCCACCUUCAACGACGGCGCCUCCGCCUUCGCCAUGUUUGCCGCGGAGCCCUUCGACGACCCGGCUGCCGCCAAGGCGGCGGCGGCGGCGGCCGCCGCCGCCGGCCAGACGCCGCCGCUGGCGGCGGCGGCCGCUGCGCCGCCGCCGCCGCCGGGCACUGGGCCGCUGCCGCUGCCGCCCGCUGGCAGCCUGGCGUCGGCGCAGCGCAACCGGGCGCAGGUGGUUGCGGCGGGCGGCGGCGGCGGGAGUCCCGACCCGUCGGCCUCGGCGGCGGCCGGCGCGCGGCGGAGCCGGCUGCUGGGCGGUGGCGGCGGUGGCGGCGCCGCCGCCGCAGCAGGCGCCAACGGCGUCGCUGCCAAGGUGCGCGAGAGCGUGUGCUUUCUUUUCGGCGCCUGGGGUCGGGCAGGUUGUGGUUCGAGUCAGGGUAAUUUGGGCAAGCAGGGGGGCACCCCGUCCCACCCUCCGAAUGCGGGUCGGUAGUCGCAUGCAUGAUACGGUAAAGGUCCCUUGAUGGAGUUUUCCCGACCCGCUCAUUACGCAUGUGCCCAUGUACCCCGUGGGCCGCACCGCACGCAGGCGCCCGGCCGCUCCCGCAGCCUGCGUAGCCUGCUCACGGGCGGCCGCCAGCGCCGCGCCGGGCCGGGGCUGGGCACGGUUGGCAGCGGCCGCGUCGGCGGCGGCGGCGGCGGCGAGAUGGGCAUUGCGUCGGACCAGGUGGGGAGGGUUCGUGGGAUUCAGCAGGGCUGCCGAGGGGGUUUUGUUGUGUUUUGUUGGGGGCGGGGCGGGGCGAGGCGGGGCGGGGCGGGGCGGGGCGGGGCGGGGCUGGGCUGGGCUGGGCGGGGCGGGGCGGGGCGAGGCGAGUGGCAGGAGCAGGGUUUCGUGUGUGCCCUUUUUGACACUACGAUGUCAUCUGACACUUAUAACUUCGCUGACGUGGUCACAGGACCUGGAGGACGCGGACGAGCUGGAGGACAUCCUGUUCGCCAUCCAGCCACACGACCAGGCAGAGGCAGCCGCCGCCGCAACCGCCGCCGCCGCCGCCGCCGCCGCCGCCGCGGGCGCCGCCACGCCAAGCGCCGCGCCGGCCCUGGCCCCCGGCCCGGUGCCGCAGAAUCCGGAGGGCUCGGUUGCUGGCGGCGGCGGCGGUGGCGGCGGCGGCGGUCUGUGGGGCCGCCGCCGGACCGGCGUGGCGCCGUCGACAGGCGGCGGCGCCGGCACGGAAGCCGCGCUUCUAGCCGAGGCCUCCCGUAGCGGCCGCGGCGUGCGACAGCCCCACCCAGGCGCCGCGCCGGACUCGCCGCAGGCCGGCCGCUCCGUUCGCGGCGGCGGCUUCUGGCGGCGGCGGUCCGGCACACUGCCCGCGCCGGCGUCGGCGGCGGCGUCGCCGCCGCCAGCGGCGGCGCCGCUGGCGGUGGCUGCCGCAGACCCGUCCUUCCACACGGAGCCCAGCGGCCACGAGGCGAGCCGGCAGCUGUCUUUCCAGGGCGCCAGCGGCGCUGCCUGCAGCGCGGCCGGCGGCGCUACUGUGCAGCCGCUGCCCGACGCCGCCAGCAUCAUCCGCUCGCGUCUGUCCAACGACGCCGCCGCCGCCGCCGCCGCCAACACCAGCGGCGGUGCGCCCGCCAGCCCGACCACGGCGGCGGCGACGGAGCGCAUCGCCGCCACCAUCGCAAACCUGGCGGGCGCCGGCGCAGCCGGCGGCGCAGCCGCCGGCACCGGCGGCGCCGGCGGCGCCGCCGCCGCCAUGGAUCUGGAUCGCGCGGUGGCGGCGAUGCUUGCCAACCUGGCGGAGGCGCCGCAGCAGGUGCUGCGCCGCUACCGGCUGCUGCAGCUGACGCAGGGCGUGGACCUGCAGGACCUGCUGCGGGACCACCAGGAGCUGGCGGCGGCGGCGGCGGCGGUGGACGCGGCGGCAGCGGCGGCGGGGCUGCCGCCGGCGGCGGCAGCCGGCGGCGCAGCCGGCACAGCCGGCGCGGCCGGCGCCGGCGGCGCCGGCGCGUACGCGCCGGCACAGCCGCCGGCGGUGCUUGCGAGCGCGCUGCAGCGGGCGCGCUCGGACGCAGAAGGGCUGAUGCGCGGGGCGGUGGGGCAUGGCUGGGUGGACCGGUCCUCCCGCGCCGGCGGCGGCGGUGCCGCUGGCGCCGGCAGCGGCGCGCUGCAGGGCCAUGGCUCCUACCGCGUCGGCGGCGGAGGCGGCGACGCAUCCGCCCGCGCCGGCUCCGGCGGCGGCGGCGGCGGUGGUGGCGGCGGCGGCGGUGGUGGCGACGCGGCGGGCGGCAGCGCUUUCCUGGAGCACCGGGUCACGUGGCACGGCCGCGGGGGGCCCGCAAUGGCAGACACGGCGGUGCCGCUGGGCGCGUCGCCGCCAAGGGCGCUCACCGCCGGCGGCGACGGCAAUACUGGCAGCGGCGGCGGCGGCGGCGGCGGCGAUGGCCUGACGCCCGCCGCCACCGCCGUCGCCGCGGAGCUGAGCCCCUUCGCCUCGGUGGCCGCGGCGGCUGCGGCGGCGCCCUCCCCGGUGCCGGCGCCAGCCGCCUGCCACGACCUGCUCGCCUUCACGGCCCCCGUCAUGCCCACCUCGGCCUCGGAGGCGCAGCCAACGCCGGCCGGCGCAGCCAGCCCUAGCACCGCUGCUGCCGCUGCAGGCGCAGCCGCGUCGCCGUUUGCCGCCGCGGGGAUCCUGACGCCCGCCGCCAGCGGCACUCCCGCCAGCGCCGCGGAUGCGGGCGGCCGCACCCUGUCCCGCCAGCCCACCGGCACAGGCUUCGCCGCCGCUCCCGGCGCCGCCGCCACUGCCGCCGCCGCCGGAGGCGCCGGCGCCGGCGCCGCCAUGGCUGGGACGCUGCUGCGCGCGCUGUCGUCGCAGGCCGCCAGUGAGAGUGGCGAGGGCGUGUGCGGCGUGUGCUUUGACCAGCCCGACGUGCUGGCCGUGACGGGCUGCGGGCACCGGCUGUGCACGGACUGCAGCCGGGAGCUGUGCAAGCUCAACACCUUCAAGCCGGCGCUGUGCCCCUUCUGCCGCGGCCUCAUCGGCGGCUUCAAGCUGGUGAAGCAGUGAGCGGCGCGGCGGCUGGCAGAGGUUUGGGGGUGGGGGCGGAGGUGUAGGAGGUGUAGGUGGAGGCGGGGGUGGGAGCUGCAGGUGUUGGCUGGAAGAAGACGCGCGGCGACGUGCCGCGCGCGUUCAGAAAAGGGCUAGGGGGCCGUGGAGGUGGACGAAGUGGUGGUGGUGGUGGUGGUGGUGGGGCAGGGGCCGCGGAGGGAUGGGAUGCAGGAGCGCAGGAGGGGGUUCAGGGAGCAGCAGGGGGCGCGCCGCCAUUGCGGCUGCAGUACAGGCCUGGCAUGCACGUGCAUGACGUUAGGCAUAUCACAUGAUGGCAGACAUGCAGGCGGGCGGACAGAGCUGGGGUUGUGUGACUGGGCUUGUGGCCUCAGCGGGCCAGGCCGCAUCUGUUAGUCAGGGUGGGGCAAGGGGAAAGGUGAGGCGACCGGGGAGAAAGCAUGGCUGAGGCUGCUGCUGCUGUGGCGGUUGGGCACGCAACGGAUCCAAAUCCACACACGUGUGUAUGCAUAUGGCAGCUGAGGUCCCGGGGCAGGGGGUGAAUUUCUAUGCGUUUGGCGAUGCAGACCUGCUCUCCGUGCUGCUGCUCGCCCCUGCCCAUGCAUCAGUAUGUGUGACUUUCGUAGGCCAAGAGAGAUCGAGGCGUGCCACGCCGCGCAUUCAAUUAUUUUGCGGUUGCGGCCGUGUAUUUUGGGCUGAUUCUAACGGGCCUGUUUUGAUUUACGUUAUGCUAAUGCCGUGCAUUCCCGAGCGCUUCGCUCCAGAACAAGUACGAUGCAAGCCACUGUCGUUGUGGGUCGCGCUUCUGCUCUCGGCUUUCUAUUGCGUUUUGCAUAACUCGUGGGGGCCUCUGGUGCAGUCUGCCCUGGCAGAGCCGGUCCCGGCGCUCACAUUACAUAACGUGCUCCAGUUGCUUUGCCGGCGCACUGCAAACAGGCUUUUGCAAAAUUGCUGCGCUGUCUAGGCCACGAAGUGACGACGAAAGCAGACGGCUGCGUGUGUGGGACCCUGUGUUGAAACAUUAACGGAAGAAAACCGCCCAGAUGCCGGAGAUACUGGGGCCGUGUGUGAGUGCGUGUUUUGCAUUUGGGGUAUUAUCUUUGCGGGCACUGCCGCCGCCGCUGCCGCGCGGGCGGCAGCAGCUUGGCCUGGCUGUGUGGCGGCAGGGCCCUCCAGGGCUGCUCGGUGCGGGGGCAUGGCAUCCUGGGUUGCGGCGAGGCAGACACAUUCAGUGUGGGGGAGUGUAGCGCAGCACAGUGAGCGGUCUGUAGGCUGUGUGACGCGGCGCACGGCGUAAGUCGAGGCGGCGACGGAGGAUGCGCUGCGGGAGUUUGCGCCCAGUGCGCACCGUGACCAGCUGCGGUGAUGCGCAGAUAGAUGAUUGGGCAGAUGGCGGGUACAGGGAAUGGGGGGCUCCAGUGGCGUAUCGCACACGGGCGGCAAUGUUUGGAGCAUGCAGGAGGCGGAGGGACGAGGCAGGGACCGGCAUAACGACCUGUCGCAUUGCGUGCGACACAGCAUCAGAGCGCACCAAGAGGUGGCGCAUGGCGGAAGCAUGAGGGGAGGGGACGCUGCCUCCGUGUGAUUCAUGUAAGGUAGGCUGGAGCGCCCAGCGUGCGAAAUGGGCGGGAUUGCUGUACGCGGCUGGGCAGGUGUGGGGGCUGGACGCGCCUGCCCCUCCCGGCCCUGAUGGCCAGGGGUGCUGAUGGCCGCCCCAACCGGGGAUGGGCCGCGGUUCCAGACAUGCCCGCGCAGUGUCGAUAGCUACCCCAGCCACAUCUGAGCAGGUGUGAACACAGGUCGAGCCCCGAUGUGAGCAACCCGCCACGGCACAGCUCAACGCGGACCUGUCGGCUGUCGCAUACCCUGACUGCGGCAUCAUCAUGACGUCCCGGUGCUACCUCCCUGGGUGCUAGCUCAAGCCUACAACCCGCUGCAACCCUUAAAGCAUCUUCGAUAACCCGGUGUUUCCGCCUUGUUUGGCUCAGCCAGGCUCAGCACAGCCCAGGUCUCCCCACCCCAGCCCCUUGCAUGUAUGCUUAGUCCGGCUGGGGCUAUGUGUCAGCUUUCUAAGAGGGCGCAUGCACCAUGUCCGCCAUGGCCAUCCCACUCCUUCCCCGCCAGCUUUACCCUGUUCCACUGUCCGCCCUUCUUUGGGAACCCACGUGUCACACUGAUGAGUAACGGAGCGCGCUAAAGCUGACAAGCUGCCUGCUGCUGCGCUGGCUGCUGCAUCGUGGGAAGCCAACGGCCAGAGCUGUGAGUUCUGCUGCGCCCGACAGCUGGCACUUUGAUGCGAAGUCUGCUGCCAUGCAAAGCUGUAACCGCUGGCUUCAGAUCGUUGCAGUGCUGCACGACUGGCUGUUGCUGUGCAGUCCUGCCGCUGUUGCUGUAGCUGCGUAAGAGCACAUGCAAGCAGCAAUUGCGCAAACCCCGAACCCCAUCCGAAAGUCAGAGCCCCCACGCGCCAACACCGCAUGACAACACGCCCGACGAGUCAACCGGCCGCACGCGGGGACAGCAACACACGGGCACAACAUCGACGCACAAUUGGGGCAGCACCGCAAACGCCAACCGCGGCACGCCACGCUCACGCUUCAAUCACGCCCCGCUGCCCUUCUUCGGCACAACCCCACGCGGACCAGCGGGACGGCCCCUGGCCUGCUGCAGAGCGGCUGCUUCCCCAACCCCUGCUGCUGGCCGUGCUGGUGCAGGCGGCGUCGCUGCACGGGCCCAUGCAGCUCGCAGCGACCGCCGCCGUGAUGCGCUCACAGGUGGGGGGCACCGGCGCGUGAUGAACAGACACGACUGUCGCCGGCGGCAGCGCACCCGCGGCACAUGGCAGCGGGCGCGGCGGUCACACGGAGUAAACCGAGCCGCGGUGCCACACUCCGCCACGACCGCAAGCAGCACUUGCCGCCGCCGCCCACCUGCCGCCCAUGCGGCCGCCGCAUCGCGCGGCGCCGUGACGCCCUUGGCUGCGGCUGCUGCAGCUGCGCAAGCCCCUCUCCCUGUCCCUGCCCCCUCCGCUGCAGCGCUCGGAUCGAAGGCUACGGCUGUGACUGGCAGGAGCUGACUGGCGGUGCUGCGGGGCAGCAGGUUGCAAGUGCUGCGCCGCAACCGCGACCGCAGCUGGGCGCCGCCGUUGCAACUGCGGAAUAGCACACGGCCAAAUCAACUGCAUCCGCAUGCUGCAUGCCGCCACGGCGGCCAACUCGCACCACUGUCGCAGCACCACGCCGCCUGGACAUUGCUGCUGCCGCUGCAGAAGCCGCUGCGAUCCGAAGCCCCCGAGCCUGCGCGCGCUCGGAACGCCUGAGCUGCCGGCCGCCCGGCGCGGCCCUGCAGUGCACUGCGACUGUGGCGAGUUUCCUAUGCUGCCGCUGCUGCUGCCGCCACUGCUACAGCAGCCGCCCUGCAUCUGCGCAGCAGCCGCUGGCCGCCAGCACACGCCCGCCGCCAGUCCGCGCAUGGCUAGUGCACCCUCGCCCCCCCGGUGAUCAACCCAUGGCCCGCUGCUGCUGCUGCCGGUCCAGGCCCCCGUGGUCCCCGCUGAGCACCGCCGUGGCUGCUGUUGCUGCUUAAUGCGCCAGCGUCUCAAUCCCAGCCGCCUCGCCUGCCGCCGCCGUUGCUGCUGCCAUUGCGCCCAAGCACAACGGCCGCGCCGCGCGACUCAUCCGCCAGUGACUCAUCCCCAACCCCACGCCGAUUCCACGCAGCCGGCAGCCGCUCACGCUGCCGUGUAAGCUGCCCGGUGUCCGCACAACACCGCUCCCGACCACACACGAUGCAACGCCACGCACGACCGCACACACGCACCCAACACGCUCAAAACGCACCCACGCCGACGCCCGCCCGCACGCGUUCGUCCCCACCUUGGCUCGUCCAGGCCCCUCCACCUUGCCCCCUUACUCACCUUGUGAGACGAUACCCGCACAUGCACCACAGCCGCUCACGCUGCCGCUGCUACGAUAGCCAACUGCAAAUACUGCGCUAUUACACCUGCUGCUGAAUGUAAGCUGCGUCAGAGUAUUGCUGGUGCUGGUGCUGCUGCUGCUGGUACCGAGGCUGCUGCAAGACAGACACGCACACCCGCUGCUGCUGCUGCUGUCGUCCCCACGACGCGCUGCCAAACCCCAACACGACCACCGGCGGGACCUAGGGCUCGAGAAUUUUCUUAAUUUUUUGACGUUACACACGCGAACGUCGUCUUCCCGCAGGUGCAGCUCCGACUACUGUUCCUAGCUCCAAAGCGGCGGGGGUUGGGGCGGCCGGCCGCCCCCGGGGUCGGGCCAGCCCCCCCCGCCGCUGCUCCUGCGCCUCUCCACGCUUCCAGCUUCCAACCCCUGCGCGCGCCUGCGGCCGCUCGCCAGUCCCAAGGCUCCGAUGCUGCUGCUAGCUCCCGCCGAGGGCGCUUAGAACUUCAUCAGGUGCGGGCGGUCGCCGUCCUUCAGGGUGAAGCGGGUCGACAGGUAGCCCUUCAGGUCGGCCGACAGGGCCGGCAGCAGAGCGGCGUCCAGGGUCUUCUGGUUGGCGAUGUACUCCUGGCUGAGCACGUUCUUCUUCGCCUCCGACUGGUCGAAGAACUCCUUCUCGCCCUUCUUGCUCGACUUGCUCUCCACCGCCUUGAAGUAGCUGUCCGUGAACUUCGACAGGUCCAGCUUGGGCAGCGACACCUUGGUGCUGGUGCCAAUCACGUACGCGGCGUUGACGCGACGCACCGGCACACCGUUCAGCUUGAACGGGCCGGUAACGAGCAGCAGGCCCGAAGGCAGCUGGCCCAGGAAGAUGACACGCUUGCCCUUGAAGCGACCGGCCAGCAGAAUCAGCACGGUGCCUGGCGUGAUGCUGGCGCGCAGCUUGGUCUGCUUGUGCACAGCGUUGUGCGACAGAGGCUUGGGCACAUCAUCGGCGGGGUAAAAGCGGGGAGCCUUGCCCUCAGCCUGCUUGGCCACAGCCUUCUUGGCGGGCGCGGGGAACUUGCCGCCGUUCUUCUUCUUGAUCGCCCACAGACCCUUGCGCCUGCAGACAGAGAAGCGGCGGUCAGCAUUGCGGCGGCGCCCACACAGCCGAAGAGUGCGCUAUAACUACACAGGACGCUUCAACCUGCAAAGGUAUACAGGUAAACAUUGCGAGGGCCGCCGGCAACAAGCAACCCGCCGGAAAUGCGCUCACUUGUAGGUCUUGGCCCGGCCCUCAGCGGUGAUACCGCGGGCAACGAAAGUGGCGGGCUUGGCCAUGGUGCUACGUCCACCUGCUGAAAGAGAGAGAGUGGUGUUCGCCUGCCGCUGUGAAGGGUCUCGCGAGUCACAUUGCAUGGGGAAUGGGGGCGGCCGGCAUAGCCCACAUUUCCCAAUCCUAUGACGCUAAACUGGCUUUAUAUUAAUACCUUAAUACAAUAGUUGCGACAGUGAGGCUCUCUGAGGGCUAGUAGACCUAAUCGCGACCAGAUUUCUCCCGCAAGGCCGCUAUAGUAUCCGUUUACGCAUAGGACUAGCGUCAUGAGACGUAAUGGACUGUCGCCAAGCCAUCGUCCAGGACUUUCUGCGUCGGAAGCGGUUUCAGACACUCCCCAGCGUGUGCCUCCCCCACACGCCACUUGGCGGGCCGACGGCAACCGGUUCCUUUGCCCCUCUGCGCUGCAUUGCGAACAUGCCGGCGGCUGUACCUGCUCCCAGAGACUCACUCUUGGUUCAUGUGUGUGGGUGGGUUGCAGGGGUUGCAGGGACAGCAGGCUGUGAUGGCGCAGGCCGUUGCCUGGGGUCCCGCAACGGCAGUAGACAUCGACUGCAGGCCACCUACGCACAACAGCGCAGCCCAUCUCCUCUUGACAGGCUGGUAUCGCUGCUACGGUAGCCUUCUGCUGUGGCCAACUCAGCAUGCAAGAGCCUGGUCGCUGCAUCGGGGCUCAGGGUUACCCCGCGUGUGGCUGCAACGCUACCGUUCCGGGCUCGUGGCGCUAGCCCGACCGCGGCCUUCCCCUCCCCAGUGCAACCCUACACGCGCCCCCUUUCCGUCUGGCAGGAUGCUACGCAGCCCAUCACGCCUCACGCCCUGCGCCUUGGCUUCCCCAUGCAGGCAGCAGCGCUGCGCGCGGCAGGAUGGCUGGCGCCGGCGCCUCGCCGCCUUUGCAGCGCCCGCCUUUGCAGCGCCCGCCUUUGCAGCGCCCGCCUUUGCAGCGGCUUGCCAGGGCUGGGGCCUGCCAGGGCUGGGGCGGCGCCGCUGGGGCCACUCCCUCGCGCGCGGGCUGUCGCUGGCGCAGCGGCACCUGGCACAGGCACUGGCUGCGCGGGCACCGGUGCCGCAGACCGGGGCGGGCAGCGCGCGCAUGUGUGUGUGUGGGCCCCCACCGAGCGGCUGCCUGUGGGAGGCGGAUGCGGCCGGGUGUGCACGUGUGUUCAGACGGCAACGCCGGAGUAGCUGCGCCCACCGAGCUGCCCCCCGGGCGGCACGGUGCUCAUCGCGGGAUGCACGGCACACAGCAAGACACGCCGUACCGCACGACAUGCAGUACCGCACCGUGCCGGCCGAGCCCUAGCCCGGGAGCGGGACAUGCAACGCGGCGGUGGCUGCGGCGGCCUGGCGGCGGUGGCGCUAGGCAGCCUGGCGGGGAAGCCGCUGCGUUCUGUUCGUGCUCGCUGCGGCAUGAGGAUGACUGCGCCCGGUGGUUCUCACCGCCAUGCUCAACCUCGUGUCGCUCAUGCGCCUACGCUCAGUGCCUGUGGUGGUGCGCAGGCGCUUAGGGACGUGGGCAGGCGGGGAUCUUGGGCGGCGCUGGGAGAAGCUGCACGGGAGGCGGAGGGUAUGGCCACCCAUGGGCAUGGCAGGGCAGCUGGGGGCCGUUGCACCCGGCGCCAUUGCACCUGUGCCGGGCGCUGUCCAGCGUGCUGGUGUGGGCCCGGGAAAAGCCGCCAUUACACACACACACACACACACACACACACACACACACACACACACACACACACACACACACACACACACACACACGUGCAUUUGCCGUCAUGCAUGCGCCCAUGCCGUCCCCCGCCUGUUUACUUGCUCGUGGUCGCCCACCCUCCGUCUCUUUCCUAAAUCGCGCAACCCCUAGUAUAGUUAAUUGGGCUGGGACUGGGCUGCGUGUUUGCUCUUGCUCGUCGCGCGCCGCCGCGCUAACAUGUUCCUUCGCUCUUGUUCGUGACACUCCCCUGCUGCCGCCCUGUGCUCUGUUGUUUUCUUAUUCGCUCGUAGGUGAGAAUUUCAUCGAGGAUUGGGCGGGAGCUUGGACUUAGCGGCCAGGAGUAGCGACGCGGAGCUAGGAAUUGUAGGAGUGCUUGGGCCUCACGGUACCGUGAGCACAUGCAUGGGUUUGCACCCUUGAGAGCGUGUGGACACUAAUCCCCCCUCGAGGUUAGAGUAGCGGGGGUUGCGCGAUUUCCGGUUGGUAAGACCGGCGGCUCACCGCAGCAGGUAUGCGAGGUAACUUCAGGUAACAUCCGUAAACCGUCGCUUUGCUGCAUCGCAUACACUGUCUUUGCGCAACGUUUUCCUUGUGCUCUUUAACACACACACACACACACACUGCAUCGCAUACACUGUCUUUGCGCAUCGUUUUCCUUGUGCUCUUUAACACACACACACACACACACACACACACACACACAUUCACCGUCGCUUUGCUGCAUCGCAUACACUGUCUUUGCGCAACGUUUUCCUUGUGCUCUUUACACACAUUCACACACACAUUCAAACACACAUUCGUUUUUAGUGGCGAGUCUUUGCGCUUUGUUCUGGUGCUCUUUGAAAUACAGCGGCCCGCGCUCCAAACCUGCACGUGUGCCGCUGUCAGCUGUCCGCUAGCAACUUGCCGCGGACGCCGCCGUGUGUCCCUACUCCCUACACGGGCACGUGCUGAUUACCGUGCCGGGGAGGUGCGCUGAUCGUGCCCACCUACCCCGCCUACCCGCCCCGCUUGCCUCCACACCACGGGCGGCCGGGCGCUUGGCGAGCGGCCAGGUGCGGUGGCCUGCGGCCACCCUCCAUGAUGCCCUGCAUCAGUGCAUGCUAUGGCCUAAGGCGGCGCGCCGGGCUAGGGGCCCACCGUGGGGCUCACCCCAAGCUCACUCAGGUCUUAGGUGCUCGCCGCCUGUACGUGUUCCCGUGGUUGGCCUGCGGCCCUGCGGGCUACGGCCCCGCCCCCACAUGAAGCUCUUCACUUCCUCAGCCCCCCCCCAAAGUGCCACCGGGUGCCUUCAACACGGCAGCACCCCUGCCUUGCAAAGGACUCUGUGGUGAUGGAGUGACUGAGGGACUGGACCCGCGGACAAAAAGCGCUUUGGCUGGCAGCCAGUGCCUUCAGAGGUCCAGACCGUGGCUUGGUGUGUGUGGGGCACACGCUUGCGGCGUGAUGUUAAGGCUUGGAAGCUUGCGGAGUGCGUGGAGUGCGCCGCGCGGGGGCCUGGCUGAACCUAGCACUCCCAAUGUGGUAAACGCAGGUGGGUCGUGUCCAUCUGUCACCUCUGGCCUCCACUCUCAAACAUGUGCACAUAAUUAGCCUGCACGGCGUGGCUGAAAGGUACAUGGCCAUAAGCCCCCUGCAAGUUGGAGGGUGGGGGCUGGUUCGCAGGGCCGAGCCAGGUCCCGCUGCGCGCGUCGGCGCGUGCUUCCGACCCACACGCGACACGCAACCCAGCCUUGACCUGCGCUGACCCUGUGGCCAACUGUUGCGGCGGGGUCCCGCGGUUCAGUCACUGGGUGCUCAGGCUGAAAGCAAAUCGCUCCUAAUCAGUAAGCAUGAGGGUUCUCUCCUCGGCAUGUGUAGCGCUGAGAUGCUGGCAAGAACGCUGCCAAACGCAUGCAUUGCAGUUGCACGGCUUGCCUUUAACCCUCACCAAACUUCUUGCCUUCAUAGUUACGUGUGCAUAUAACUCCCUGAUUAGAGGAGCGGCCCAGGCUGUUUCCUGCUGCUUCGCUCCAGGACUCGAGCGCGCCAACUGCAGAGCCCAACCUCGCGAGCCAGGCAUGUCGUGUCUAUGGCCGUAGCAACCUUUACUCCAUUAUUCAGCUUUGUGUAAACGCCUGUAGCUGACUAAACGGCUAUCUCCGUGCUCCACGCGUGCAGGCCAGCAUGCCAGCGGGUGAGCGGCCCAACGCGGGCCCUGGUGGCGAUGCGUCCGCGGCUAAGGCGGCAUCUCAAGGAGGGCAGCAGCAACAGCAGACCACGCCGGUCCUGAGCUGGAACGGGGAUACGCAAGUGGCCAUGUUCAUCACGGUCCUGCUGCUCCUUAACCUGAUGAAAUGGGUAGGUUAAACUGUUCUUGAGCAGCCUCUGGGUGCUCAUGUGCAGCGUGCAAUUGUGGCGACAAGUUUGCUGCCGGGCCGCUGCGUCGGCCCUUCCCAUGUCCGCCACCUUCCGCUCCUCCCCCGUCUGCCCCGCUUUACAGGCCAUGACCCCGCCAUGCACUUGCUGAGCAGCAAGCAGCUGGCCGCGGCUGAUGCCUCGGCCGCAGCGCUGGCUGGCUCCCUGCCUGCGCCCCGCGGCUGCGCAGGCGAGCCACAGCAGCAGCAGCAGCGCAGCAGCAGCAGCAGCCGCGUGGCUGUACGAUUGCAAACUGUACCAUAAUCUGCUGCGCGCAGACGACCGAAGCAGCUCUACUGUUUAUAUUAUUAUCUGUGCCUCCUGGCACCUGCUUGUGGCGGGUCCUAUUGUGGCGCUGCUGCGUGUCCGGUGCGGGGGGGAGGGGGGCCGCGCGUGUGCUGCCAGUCGGUUGCACGAUGCCUGAUAGGUCCGCUGCUAAGGUUACUUGGCGCAGGGCUGCUGGGGGGUUACAGCGGAUGGUUAAGAUGGGCGGCCCGCGUGGGGCGGGGCAGGUGUGCCGCAGCCGCGCCGUCACCAGCCACCACCCGCAGCACCUGCGCUGGAGUACCCACGAGAGUGCGGGAAGAAAUGUUGUCAGUACCCAUGGUGUGAUUCUAACCGUUAUAUUGUAUUGGGUGUUGGGUGCCACCGUGUGCUGUCCAUUGUGCUGGUGUUCGCUGGCAGCACAGCCAAGAGGCAGCGUUGACAGAAUGACUGAGAGAUGCAUCCGUCGCACCCAGCAGUGACCCUUGACAGAUUACGUUCGAUGUGCUUUCCUCCGACACCUCCUUGUUACCUUAACUUGUUGCACAAUGACAGCGUGAGAUGCAUGCUGGAAAUGCAGGGACCGCAAAGCAAUGUUGGACUGUUGCAGUAGCGUAGGAGCAGGUAGAUGCACUGGCAUCGUAGUGUGAGGGCUCCUUACAUCCGGGUAUCGGCAGGUCACAGUUCUGGGUGUUGCAGCUGCUAGUAUGUAAUGCUACCAGAAUCACGUGCCGACUCGUCCACUUUCCGUGGGGAGCUCAAGGACUGGCCGUGGACGGAGUGCGUUCGGCUGAGAGCAGUGUUUGCAGCACGACAGCAGCAGGGCGGGUCAGGGGUCAAGGGUGCCCACAAGUGGCCCUCCGUGUACUAGUGUGUACUCCAGUGGCGAGGUCAGGGUGUGUGAGGCCGGAGCCUGAGUGCCUGACGCACAGCAAUAUGGGCAUAACGGUUAGCCCGCCCAACAGCCACUCCCAGCCCUCAACAGGCCACAAAGCCAGCAGUCUUCAUGCACGUGACCAACAUUCACGCAUGGAGAUGUACUUGUGUUGUGCCAUGUAAAACGCACGCGGCGAGCCGUUUGCGGCGCCAAUUGCAACGCACAUUGCAAACCUGUACAAGGAAGGCGAGGCUGGGGCCCCAAGCUAGCCCAACGCACACAAGAACGCACACACGAAACACGCCCGGCACAAACCGCUUAACCUAUUUCCGUUUCUGGCCCGACGUUCCUUUAGCGGGUUACACCUUAACUCAACCUGCCUUAUACCCUGUCCCAUCGCACGUUGCUUCGUUUUGCACGGUGGCCAUGUCCGCAGUGAGCCCGGACUGUAGGUCCGCCCCGCUCCGCCCGGCACUUGCCAACGGCUCCUUACCCGUGCCCACGCUCACUCCACACUCCACAUUUUGACUCCCCGCGCCUCAUACACACCUUGCUCACACGGCGUCAGCAGCGCCCACGCAUGCCUCCGACAAAAUUGGGCUCCGCGCUCGCGGCUCUGCUGCGUACAGCAAUGGCCCUGCGGCGUGCCUGACGCCGACAGCCAAUCCGAAACUGCACGCGCACAUCUCAUUUGGCACUUGAGCAAGCACCAUGCGACCCCGCAUUCGUUCAACCAGUCUUCCAAAUUGCACGCCUCAUAUUCCUCACCCCGCGCUUGGUUCACCCCAGUCCCCCAAGGCAUCGCGUGCCGCCCUUGCGGCGCCCGCCCUUGCGGGCCCCAGACCUUCAACACUCGGCCCCCACAGCACCCGGGCCCGCCCAACAGCCCCUCUGCAGCGGCAGGCCACUCGGCCGCCGCGCGCACACGCUCAAGCACACCUAUCUAGCUUCGCGCUUCGCUUCCUAACACCCCUUAGGUAUUACAACUACGUACCCGGGAGCAACCCACGGCCGUGCAGUCACACCGCCGUGAUUUCAUAGCACGUCCGACACUCCAACGCGCCACUACACAAACAGCAAACAACACCAAGUCCCAGUCCAACUCCUCUAUAUAGCAUGUAAAAAGAAGACGGCCGCUUCCCGGCAUUAACAACUCACGAGGGAAAAGGAUUUAGUGCUCAUCCCCUCAGCGCCAAGCUGCGGGCCGCAACCCAGCUGCUACUGAGGACCUCUUCAGCUGCAGAUCUCACAGCAGCUCAGCUUUGCGGAUCUCUCCAGCAGCAACUCAGCUGUGGGUCUUGAUCUCCUCCUCGCCCAGCAGCAGCUCAGCUGUUGAUCUUGAUCUCCUCCUCGCCCAGCAGCACCAGGCGCCGGAAGUGGCCCAGCGCCCAGAUGGGGAAGAUGUUGCUGCGGCGGCAGGGAGGGGAGGGAGGGGGGUUACAUUCAUGAUUAGUUAAGAAGUGGGGAAGGGGGGAAGGGAUGAAGGAGGAAGAGGGGUAAGAGUGGGCGUUGCAGGUUCAGGACGGAGGGGGGUUUACAAUCAUGACUAGCGAUGGGGUGCGGGGCUGGGCCAGGAAGGAGGGGCGGAGGCUGCGGGCGAGGGUCAAAUGACGUGGUCCCAUGCCCAGGGGCUCAGGCGGCCGGUUGAGGCACGAAAGGACGCAGGUGGGCAAGUGCGAGGGAUGGACUGUGGGUCGGAGCUCCCACUUAGCUGCGCGAAGCAAAUUGGGCCGGGCUGGGCUGGGCUGGGCCACACGGGUGGGCCUGGACCCGGGAGCUGAGCGGAGGUGCCGCCAGCCUCCCCCCUUCAUUAGUAAUCAUGAAUGUAACCCCCCUCGCCGGAGGCCCCCCCCGCUUGUGCGGGCCUGCCUGCCUGCCUGCCUGCCCGCCUGCCUGCCUGCCUGCCUGCCUGCCCGCCUCACCGGUAGUUGGCGUAGGUGAUCAUGCAGUUGCGGUUGAACACGCCGCUGAUGUGCUGCUGCGGCCAGUCGCCGCUGGGCUGCUGCAUGCGCAUCAGGAACACGGCGCCGCGCCGCAGCGGCUCCGGGUCCACCUGGGGCGAGGGGGGCGGGUGUGUGGGGGGCCGCGUGUGUGUAUGUGUUGACGAGGCCCGCCAAGGCGCUUUGUGCAUGUGCGUGUGUGUUGAGAUUACGCCUCUGCGGUGGCCGCCCCAGCUCAGCCCAACCCCACCUGUACGUGCCCCAUGCCCACCACCCCUCCCACCUACCGUCCCACCACCGUGCCACUGUCGCGCACAUGUUCAUGGCAGCGCUGUUCAUGUGUUGACGCUGCCGCCCGUGCCCCUAACACACAUGCCCUGAACCCCCACCCACCCACCCACACCCAACCACACAUCGACACACAAACACAAACACACUCGCCCCCUCCCCCUCACCUUGUGGUAUCCCACCGCCAUGAGCGCCAACAUGGCCCAGGCCGUGUUCACCACGUGGCUGUCCCCCUCCAGGUGGCUGUACACCUGGGGGGGUGUGAGAGUGUGUGUGUGUAUGGUUGUUCAAGGCACACGGAAAAACAAGCGCUCAGACUGAAUAUGCGAUGCAGCCACGGCAAACGAAACGAGUGACCCUGUGCACUUGAUAGUCUGUCGUGUGACCACCGCCCAUCCUAUGCCCUCCUCCCCCUCCUCCCUCCUCCCUCCCUCCUCCUCCCCCUCCUCCUCCCUCCCUCCUCCCCCUCCCGCCCCACCUUGUCCUGGCAGCUGAGGUAGCUCUCGCCCCAGCCGCCGUCCGCCCGCUGCUUGUCCGCCAGGAAGGCCGCGCACCGCCGCAGCGCCUCGUCGUUGGCGUACGUGUGCCCCAGCGCCGCCAGCCCAGUGGCGCCGAACCAGCAAGCGUAGGUGAAGCACACGCCCCAGGAGCCGUACCUGCGCAGGAGGAGGGAGGAGGCGGGGGAGGGGGGGAGAGGGGAGAGGGAGGGGUUGUUGAUACCAGCCCGAACUAAACCGAACCGCGCCAAAGUAGCGGAGCGCAGGCAGAGGCGGCAGUUGCGAGGGGGAGGGGAGGGAGGGGUUGUGUAUACCAGCCCAAGCUGGAACAAGGGAAUUCAGCGAAGCACAGGCGCAGGCACAGCACGGGGGGGUGGAGGUAAGGGAGUGUUGGUUGAAGACCAUUCACAGUACUGUGGGAAACCGGAGGCACGGGAAAUGCAGGACAAGACAAGACAGGCUAAACCCGUGGGUGUAGAGGUGUUGACGAAGAGUAGAACCCGGGAUAGCCGCCCUUGCACUCAUUCUGUUUGUUCCCUUCGACGCGGUCUCUCCAAACCUACCAGGAGCCGUCCUUGCGCUGGAUGGAGCGGAUGAAGGCCUCGGCCCGCUUGAGGGAGGCGGCGAUCUCCGCGGCCCGGUGGCCGGGGUGCUGCCUGUGUGUGUGUGCGUGUGGGGGGGGUGCGUGUGUAGGAGUGCGGGUGAGCAGGUGACGGAGCAGGCGCAGGUUGGGACAGGGUGGGAUCAGGACCCAGGACUCCGGCCCCAACACAUUCUACCAUGGACACACAUGCGCAACAUGCACACGUACGCACACACGUACACAGUCACACACUCGCACACACAGUCACACACAGUCACACAAUUCCGCACCCCUUCCCACACGCUCACUGCCCCCCACCCACCCCAUCCCCCGUUCUCUCACUUCCUGAAGCUGCACAGCGCGGUGAUGCAGGCGCUGGUGCACUCGACGUAGCUGUAGUCCACGAUGAUGUCGCCAAACGUCUCGGCGGGGUUCAGGAUCUGGGGGGGAGGAAGGGAUGGGGGGUGGUUGGGGGAGGGUUGCGGGUUGGGGGCGUGGAGGGGCCCCGGCAGGGGGCGGGGAUGGUUGGGGAGUUACAGCUAAGGUAAGGGGGGGCGGGCGGCUGGGGGAGUAGAACACCGCCCCACCGACACCCACAACCACACCCACACACGCACACGCACACGCACACCCCCCCCCCACACCCACACACACCCACACACAGACACGCCUAUGCUUUGCUGCAUCGCAUACACUGUCUUUGCGCUAUGUGUUCCACGUGCGCUAUGCUUUCCAUGUGCUAUUUAAACACCAACCUCUCCCCCCCCCCACCGCCCGCCCCGCCCCGCCCCGCCCCCACCUCCAGCCAGUGGAAGCUGCGCGUGUUCUCGUACGUGGCCAUGCCGCCGUCCCGGUUCUGGUAGCUCAGGAUGACGUUGACGCAGUCGUACAGCCGCUCGGGCGAGAUGGCGGGGCCCACCUGCGGGGGUUGGCGCGUGUGUGUAUUGUAGGUGUGGGUGUGCGAUGGGACAGUGGUAAGGCAGGUUGGUAAAGUCCCGUAGGUUGGGAGGUGAAGCACCCACCGCAUCCACCGGCCAGCCAGCCACCGCUCUACCCGCACGUGGCUUCCGGGGAAGUCAUCAGGGUUAACUUGAACAAUCUCUUACGCCCAAGAUCUUUAAUGACAUUACGCUCAACCCGCCCCCCCCCUCCCAGCCACCCCCACCCGCCCAUGCCGCCCCUCCCGCCACCAGCUCCUCCGGCAACAGCGCCAGUGUGAGCGCCGCCUUCAGUCCCUCGCACACAUAUGCACACACACACAACCAACCCGCUCCCCACAUUCCCUCCCACCCCCGCCCCCAAUCUCCCCCCUUUCUUCCCACCAGCUCCUCUGGCAGCAGCGCAAGCGUGAGCGCCGCCUUCAGUCCCUCGCUGGAGCAGUCGGAGAUGGGCCAGCCGUGGUCGCGCGAUGAGAAGGGCCAGGCGCCCUUGCUGAUGUGGCGGUAGUAGGCGGACAGCGGCGCCGCGGCCUCCUCAAUCACCUGUGCGCGGAGGGAGGGAGGGAGGGUGAGGGCGGAGGUGAGGGUGGAAGUGUGGGUGGAGGUGUGGGUGGAGGUGUGGGUGGAAGUGACCUCCACUAACAAAUACACUUUAACACUUCUCUACACACGCACACACAACCCACGUAGCAAGGAAGUGACUCCGGCGCCGUUUUGUUAUUGUAUCCUAACACACACCCUCCGCCGCCCCCCCUUCCGCACCUGGCUCUGCUCCACGUACUCGUGCGCCUUGCGCAGGCAGUGGCCCGACACCUGCAGCAGCCCGGCCUCGGCGAUGGCCUGCGCUCGUGCGAGUGAUAUUAUUGGAGGGAUCACAUUCAUAAGUAGUUAAGGAAAUGGUAGACGGUAGACCAUCUUGCGGAACAUGAAGCGUUCGGGGGGGGGCGGGUUGGGAUGGGAGAGAAAUGGGUUGCGUCUUGGCGUGUAGCACCAGCAAUCAAUACUGGAGCGGUGGGCUGCAACCCACAACAACUUGAGCCGGCCGCGAAGCAGCCCUUCCACGAAAAGCUACCUCCCUCUCACUCGGGAUUGGGAAAGCUACAACCCCCGCCCCAGUGCCCUCACUCCCUCACCCACCACCCAGCCUCCCCCUCCCCCUCCCCCUCCCCCUCCCCNNNNNNNNNNNNNNNNNNNNNNNNNNNNNNNNNNNNNNNNNNNNNNNNNNNNNNNNNNNNNNNNNNNNNNNNNNNNNNNNNNNNNNNNNNNNNNNNNNNNCCUCCCCCCCUCCCCCACCCUCCCCCCCUCCCUCCUGCCCGCACCUGCACUGCGAAGCUGGUGUCCCACAGUUGGCUGCCGUUGUAGCCCUGCAUCUUCAGCCCGUCCUCCGCCACCCACAGGUAGUCGUGCACACGGGGCAGGUGCCUGGCGGGUGGGUGGUGGGUGGUGGGGUUGGGGGGUGGGGGUGGGGGUGGGGGUGGAGGUUCGGAGAACUUUGACAUGAAGUGGUAGAGCGUGAGCAGCACUUGCAACGAUUGGAGGAGCGGGAGUGGGAGGGUGUGAGUUGGGAGGAGGAAGGGGAGUCGGAGUGCGGAGGAGGAAGGUGAAUGUGGUCAAUGGGGAAUGGGUGGUGUGUGCAGCGUGCGUGCCAGUGUGUGUCUCCUCCUCCUUCCUCCACCCCCCCUGCCCCCCCUCACUUCUGGAAGGCCUUGCCGCCGGGCUCCUCCAGCCAGCAGGCCAGCAUGUUGAUCACCUUGUUGACAGGCCCGAUGUCCACAUAGCGCGUGUUCUC
This 30173-nucleotide long non-coding RNA is filed under the name Chlamydomonas reinhardtii. Its description in RNAcentral is "long non-coding RNA (CREI_LNC000020)". The record is from RNAcentral. Lineage: Eukaryota; Viridiplantae; Chlorophyta; Chlorophyceae; Chlamydomonadales; Chlamydomonadaceae.